UUGUUAUUUUUGCAACUAAUCCUCUGAACUUUUUUCUAUCAACAUUAGCCAAACACAAGCCUUUCUCCCUAAAUUACCCUUCUUUACAGACCAAAACUAAUCGGCAUCGUGGCAUGAGUUAUUUUCAAACUUAUUGAUCUGAGUCGGAGGAUGGAUCUGAUGACAGGGUGCCUGUCGCACCAAAACUUGAAGUUGUUCAUGAUGAUGUUUGUGAUUCGUCGGAAACGGUGGCGUUUUGGCCGGAAAUUUGAGAUAAGUUGUAACUGUUUGGUGAUGCUUAGAUUCCGGCGAUGGGUUGGUCGAUCGGAGGUGGGGAAUAACGAAAGAGGUUGAGCUCGUGGAGAGGAGUGGAUUGAUUACGGUGGUGCUGGCUAAAUCGCGGCGGAAACCGGUGAAUGACGGCACGGUUGGCGCGGCUGUUUUGGUUGUUUUUCCGGCGAUCUGUGGCUAAUCAACGGUGUCCGAUGCUUGGGGUUUGAUGGCCGGCGAUUUAUGAUCCGUUUAGUGGUGGUUGCGUCCGGAUCGGUGACGGAAAACGAGAGCCGGCAGCCUUGGACGGUGGCCGCGGGCUGACGCUUUUGUUUUUGUUCUGUUUCGGUUUUUUUUUUUUUAAAUAAUGAAGCUAAACGGAAGAAAACAAAAAGGUGAAAGGAAAAGCAAUCUCUCACCCGCGUCGAAGUCGAGAAAAGUUAGAAGCAAUUUGGGCACGAAGAUUAUGGAAGGGGGAAUGAAUAUCAAUG
This 740-nucleotide long non-coding RNA is filed under the name Citrus sinensis (sweet orange). Its description in RNAcentral is "long non-coding RNA (CSIN_LNC005625)". Lineage: Eukaryota; Viridiplantae; Streptophyta; Magnoliopsida; Sapindales; Rutaceae. The record is from RNAcentral.